UUCUUUUGCCAACCCCCAUAAUCCCAUGCCCAAACAUAAUGCAACGCGGUGACAUCGCGCUAUUGCGCCAUUUUGCGACUACUUGGCGGUCUUUUUUGAAUCGGCAUCAAUUUAUCAGGCGGCCUGCAGUGCACUUACAGCUCGAACUGUGGUGAGUAUAUCUGGAAAUUAUAUCAUGUAAUGUAAGUGUUUAUGCCCCCCUAUAUAAUGAUAUUACUUGUAAUACGUAUCAAAUACAUCGAAGUGUUUUAGCUGUAAGACGAUGGGUAGAGAUAAUUAAUUAGAAAAUGGAAACGUUAACUGUUAUAUCCCUGAAAUAACGCCUGAGUCACUAAAGCCAUCUAGCGCUGAAAAACAGUUCAAAUAAAGUUUAAACUUAAGACGUAUGUUUUUAAUUAUUAUAUUAUUAUUGUUUCGGAUAAUUUAACGUUAAGCUUUUCAUCAUGAAAUUCCAUCGAUUCGAUGCUUUUCUUUCCUUCAAUUGUGUCAUGCGAAUUAGUUAUGCAGAUGUUUAUAGUAACUUAAUAUUUUGCUGUACAAGUUGUUUAAUUAAUUUUGGAGUAAUUAGGCUAUCUCCUUUAGCUGUCAGAUUUCUACACAGGAUGUAAAGAGGCUCCUUUUUUUUUAUUAAUUUAAGCAAAAACAGCCUUUUCUACUACAAGCUCUAGUUUUAUAUUUGGGGUUCAAGUUUAUAACUGAGGUCUAUUAUAGUAUUUAAUAUUGUGUGAUUUCAGGUGUUGUGGAGCUAUACUAUAUGAGGUUAUAACAUUUGUUUUGUUUUUGCUUUUAUCUCCUUGCCAUGGUCUGAAGAAGCCAUAUUAUUGUAAGGUUGAUGACAAAUGAGGUCAUGGCCUGUUUCAGUAUGAAGUGGGGGAAGGGGAAGCUUGCCUUCACCAACAUCAAUCUGUACACUGUUGUCACAGAGAGUGUCCAGAAAACAUCAAAAGAGACGGGGCAAAUAUUGCAGCGGCCACCGCCUUUUGUUUAAAAUAUGCCCCAGCAGAGCCGUCGCAAGGAGGGUGAGAGGCCCUGUGCAAAGCUGACAUGCGAGGCCCUCUACCAUUUUGCGUGCGUGUGUGUGUGUGUGUGG
This is a long non-coding RNA of Cyprinus carpio (common carp), 1090 nucleotides long. RefSeq lists it as uncharacterized. NCBI's taxonomy places the organism in Eukaryota, Metazoa, Chordata, Actinopteri, Cypriniformes, Cyprinidae. The record is from RefSeq and is a predicted model, not a curated record.